CCACGUUAUUCAUCGAAAUGUAUGUCCAUCAUCGAUAUUAGUUACCAAGCGUGGUACCUGGAAGCUGGCUGGCUUAGAAUUUAUUGAAAGAAUGAAUGAGACUGAUGUAAAUGAGUUAGUUCCUUGUCAACCCUGGAGUAACAGGGUUUCAAAAAUGGCUCAACCAAAUUUGGAUUUUAUGGCUCCCGAGACUCAAUUAACUUCGAAGGGCAGCCUACUUAGUGAUAUGUUUU
Molecule: long non-coding RNA, 233 nt
Organism: Rhagoletis pomonella (apple maggot)
Lineage: Eukaryota; Metazoa; Arthropoda; Insecta; Diptera; Tephritidae
Exons: 3
Source: RefSeq, a predicted model, not a curated record